UUCUCCCGCCGUCAGCCUGCCGCACUUUUCCUUCUUACGUCUAUCUAUAUAUUAUAUCACACGCAUACAUAUAUCCACCUAUAAACACAUAUACAUACAUAAAUAAACAUAUCUCUCCAUAUUCUCUUUUUUCUGUCGUUCUCUUGUUCUAAAUCGGUCAUAUAUGUAUGAGUAUCUAUCCUUCGCUUUAUUCCGUCACUUAACUGGGGACGUUUCCCUUCCUGCUAUUCGAACACAUCCUUCAAGCAGCUGGAAACUGGGACUACCACUACAAGACAUCAACUUUUAUCCCAGCCCAUUACUUACCUCAUGUACCCUACACAGCCUCCAGGAGGGCCUGGCAUGAACCCCCAAAUUUCUGGUGGGCUACAGCCAGGCGGAAUGCCCCCAAGUGGGAUUCCACCUGGCGGACUGCCUCCAGGUGGACUUCCACCUGGUGGACUACCACAAGGCGGGCCGCCACCUGGCGGACUUUCCUCAGCAUUACAACCUGCACAGAGUAGUAUCGUUGAUGUUCCAACAACGCUUCCAGAUUUUGUCUCGCCAUCACGGCCUAAUGUCGGCCAGCUUGGCAGACCGAUCCAGUUACGAGCAAACUUCUUCAAGAUUUCAUUUCCUAAAUACAACAUUCACCAUUAUGAGGUGAGCAUAUCACCAGACAAAUGUCCACGCCGGGUAAACAGAGAGAUUGUAGAAACCAUGGUACAGGCUUACAGUGCUAAGAUAUUCCAUGGAGAAAAACCAGUUUUUGAUGGUAGAAAAAAUUUAUACAGUCGAAUGCUUCUUCCUUUUGAUAGAGAACGGGUUGAGCUUGAGGUGACUUUGCCAGGAGAAGGAAAGGAUCGGAUAUUUAAAGUAGGGAUUAAAUGGGUAGCGCAAGUUAACCUAUUUGCACUUGAAGAAGCCCUCUCAGGACGAACCCAGAAAAUUCCAUAUGAUGCUACGCAAGCUUUGGAUGUAGUGAUGCGACACCAACCAAGUAUGAUAUAUACUCCGGUGGGUCGUUCUUUUUUCAACCAACCCAGAACGAAGCACUAUCCGCUUGGUGGUGGCAGAGAGGUUUGGUUUGGCUUUCAUCAAAGUGUUCGCCCAUCCAAUUGGAAGAUGAUGCUGAAUAUAGAUGUGUCAGCUACAGCCUUUUACAAGGCUCAACCAGUUACCAGCUUCCUGUGUGAUGUGCUGGAACUACGAAACUUAUCAGAACAGAAACGACCCCUCAUAGAUGCUCAACGGGUCAAAUUUACUAAAGAAAUAAAAGGUUUAAAAGUUGAAAUCACUCACUGCGGGCAAAUGAGACGAAAGUACAGGGUUUGCAAUGUGACCAGGCGACCUGCUCAAACACAGUCAUUCCCCUUACAGUUGGAAAACGGUCAAACAGUAGAAUGUACAGUUGCUAAAUAUUUUUAUGAAAAAUACCAAAUGAAGUUAUUAUAUCCGCAUUUACCUUGUCUGCAAGUCGGUCAGGAACAGAAACAUACUUACCUGCCUUUAGAAGUUUGCAACAUUGUUGGAGGCCAACGUUGCAUAAAAAAAUUAACUGAAAUGCAAACAUCCACCAUGAUCAAAGAAACCGCUCGGUCAGCACCAAACCGAGAACGGGACAUCAACAGUUUGGUGUCUAAAGCAAACUUCAGUGAAGAUCCCUAUUUGCAGCAAUUUGGUGUUCAGGUCAAUCCAAAGAUGGUAGAAGUUGAAGGGCGUGUUAUAGAUGCACCCAAAAUCCAAUAUGGUGGACGGACGAAAGCAUUAGCAGUUCCAAACCAAGGUGUGUGGGAUAUGCGUGCCAAACAGUUUUACAAUGGGAUAGAGAUCAGAGUGUGGGCUAUUGCUUGUUUUGCUGCCCAAAAAAACGUCAAAGAAGAAGCCCUCAGGAGUUUUACACAACAACUACAGCGUAUUUCAAACGAUGCUGGCAUGCCAAUCAGUGGCCAGCCCUGCUUCUGUAAAUAUGCCAGCAUUCCUGAGCAUGUGGACCCAAUGUUUACAUAUUUGAAGAAUAAGUUCCAAGGACUACAACUGAUAGUUGUCAUACUGCCAGGAAAAACACCAGUUUAUGCUGAAGUGAAGCGUGUUGGUGAUAUCACAUUUGGUCUUGCUACUCAAUGUGUCCAGGCCAGGAAUGUUACGCGUACAUCUCCACAAACUCUCUCCAAUUUAUGUCUGAAGAUAAAUGUCAAACUAGGUGGCAUCAACAGCAUCUUACUUCCAAGUAUUCGGCCUGCUAUAUUCCGAGAACCCGUCAUAUUUAUUGGUGCAGAUGUCACUCACCCACCUGCAGGAGAUGCUAGUAAACCUUCAAUUGCUGCUGUUGUUGGCAGCAUGGAUGGCCACCCAAGUCGAUAUUCUGCUUCUGUUCGGGUCCAAGAACAUCGCAAAGAAAUCAUUCAAGAACUUGCCAUCAUGGUCAAGGAGCUUCUGAUGGAAUUUUACAAGUGUACUAUGUUUAAACCAGCUCGAAUUGUCUUCUAUAGAAAUGGUGUCAGUGAAGGACAGUUUCAGCAGGUACUAAGUUAUGAGUUGAGAGCUGUGCGGCAAGCCUGUAUUGACCUUGAUUUAGCCUACCAACCUGGAAUCACCUUCAUAGUAGUACAGAAAAGACAUCAUACCAGACUAUUCUGUGCGAAUGAACAAGAUCAAGUUGGUCGAAGUGGGAAUAUCCCAGCUGGAACCACUGUGGAUCAUGGUAUCUGCCAUCCAACAGAAUUUGAUUUUUACCUCUGCAGUCACACUGGCAUACAGGGAACCAGUCGACCUUCACAUUAUCAUGUUCUCUGGGACGACAACCGGUUUAGUGCAGAUGAACUUCAGACGUUGACCUAUCAGCUUUGCCAUACAUAUGCAAGAUGCACGCGGAGUGUGUCUAUACCAGCACCAGCUUACUAUGCCCACCUAGUUGCUUUCAGAGCUCGUUACCACCUGGUUGAGAAAGACCACGACAGCGGCGAGGGUAGCCACCAGUCAACUUCACAGGAAGAGCGGACCCCAACUUCCAUGUCGAAUGAGAUUGCCGUGCACCCUGACACCAUCAAGGUCAUGUACUUUGCUUAACUCUCAUCAUCUUACACUACCAUGUGACCAGCAGCUGUUUAACAGGAAGAUAAACGGACUUCUUAUGUUUUGAUGUUGCCUAUUGCCGUUGUUGUUGUUUUUGUUAUCAUUAUUAUUAUUAUUAUUAUUAUUAUUAUUAUUACUGCUGUUGUUAAUUUUAUUUAAUUUCAAGGAGAAGAAAAAUCAGUGCAUUGUGUUAAAAUAUAUUUGUUUAUUGAAAUACACACACACAUUUUUAUACACUUCAGUUUUAUUGGUUUGUCAUAAUUCUAUAUAAGUCAGGCGGCGAGCUGGCAGAAACGUCAGCACGCCGGGCGAAAUGCUAAGUGGUAUUUCGUCUGCCGCUGCAUUCCAAGUUCAAAUUCCGCCAAGGUCGAGUUUGCUUUUCAUCCUUUCGGGGUCGAUUAGAUAAGUUCCAGUUAUGCAGUGGGGUCAAUAUAAUCGACUUAAUCCAUUUGUCUGUCCUUGUUUGCUUUGUGUUUAGGGUGUUGCAUACACAAUCAUUAGAUUAUGCUUUCGCUUCCUGAACUGGGUGAUGAACAAAACACUUCAUUUCAUGUAAAUCCACUCAGCUGGCAAAAAUGUUAUUCUGUUACUAAUAGGUAUCCUGUCCAGGAGGGAAUAUUUAUGCUACAGAAUCUAGGGAAACUGGCCUUAUAAACUUAGGGAUCAGGAAGGACCUUCCAAUUAAAAAAAAAUUUUUUUUAAAGAUAUCUGUCUCAUUAUUUUAAUGUUCAUUGUCCAUGCUGGCAUGGGUUGGACGGCUUGACCAGUGCUGACCAGUCUGAUUUGGUAUGGUUUCUUCAGCUGGAGACCCUUCCUAACACCAACCACUUUACAGAGUGUACUCCGUGCUUUUAUGAGGCACUGCACAGGCACUUUUGCAUGUCCCUGAUGAGUACUUUUACAUGGUACUGCCACGAGUGCUUUACACCUCUUGGAACAUCAGUCUUAACACUUCUGCUAUGGAGUAUGGGUCUUCUUGAGUAUGGCAAGGUGCCAGGUAUCUCGGUCCUUUGUCAUCUUGCCUGAAAGGUUCAGUGCCCCGAGGUCAUUCUUCAGUACUUCAUCCCAUCUCUUCCUGGGUCCCCCGCUUCCAUGUGUUCCAUCCACCCUGAGAGAUCCGCACUUCUUUGUAGGGCUGUUACCAUCCAUUCACAUCACAUGACCAAACCAGUGCACAGCAACCAAUUUCUCCUAUGCCUAACUUUUCUCUCAGAACAUUGGUACUCUGUUGAACAUAUACACUUACAUUAAACAUCCAGUGGAGCAUACUAGCUGCAUUCCUUUCUAACCUUUGCAUGUCCUCUGCAUUCAUGGCCCAUACCUCACUACCAUGUAGAAUUGCUGUCCAUAUACAUGCAUCAUACAAUCUUCCUUUCACUCAGAGAGAGAAACCUUUUAUGCCCAACAGAGGUAACGGCUCUCUGAAUUUCCUCCAUACUAUUCUUAUUCUAACUAUCACACUGUAUCCUCCACUGCUAAUUUGGUAGCAGAAAUUAUCUGCUAGCUUUAAUGAGCAACCAGGCAUUUCAGAGAAUCAAUUUCUCGAGUCUCUAAAGUUUUUAAGAAUCCUGUGUAUCUUCCACAUACAAAAACUAUCUCUGAUAAUCUUCCUAUUAACUCACUGCACUUCUUGUGUGUCCAUAGCUUACACUGGGUACAUUGUAUGAAGUCCCUGUCUAUACCUCUCCUGCAAAUCAAACAGGGCCACCUACCUGAGUGGGGUAGGGUCCUGUCAGUUUUCUUGCUUACUAGGACCUUAGUAUUUGCCACAUUAACCUUAAGGCCCUUAGAUUCCAGGUUUUGCUUCCCCUUCCCUACUCUGGGUUCAAAGACUUGCAUGUUGCAUGGUGAACUCACUAGUGAUGGUGGCAUGAAAAAAUGCCCUCAGCACAUACUUUAAAGUGGUUGGCAUUAGGAAGGGGCAUUCAUGUAAAAAAUCAUGCCAAACCAGACACUUUAGCUUACCAUGGUUCUCAGGCUUGGCCACUCCUGUCAAACCAUCCAACCCAUGUAAGCAUGGAAAAUGGGCAUUAAAUGAUGAUGCUCAGUACAUUUGUAUUUAGAGAGAUAGCGUCUCAUAAGGCGAGGUUUCUAUAUAUGUUAAAUUUGCAGAAGAAUUUGUGGCAUGGGCGAUUUAGCUUAAUGGUUCAGAGCACUGCGACGCGUAAUCACGGAGGUGAGUUGAAGUUUCAUAGCCAGCCGCCAACAAUUUUUUCUGCAAAAUAGGGGUAGCUUAUCCUGUUCAGAGAUGGGUGAAGGUAGGAAGAGAAGUUAAGGUCACUUUUUAACAAAAUUGCUGGGAGACAAUACUUCCCGCUCAUCCUCCCUUUCCUUUUUAAGGGAAACUUGAGAAAGUUGGUGAAGUAUUGGCCAAAGAAGGCCAGAGUGAAACUUCCAUCAACUGCAUUACUUGACUGACAGAGGACUGUGAGUGCCUGGUGACACUUUGGGUACCAGAUGCCCUUCCUCGGGCUGUGAUUGACCCAGGACUGCAGUUCAGACAAAGAGACGAGUUGUGGAAAAUCCUGUCUGACAAAUGGCGAUCACAUCUGUUCACCAUCAGGGAAGCGCUGGAGAUAUAACCUCAGUAUCUGUCUUCAGCUCUUUCAGUUUGGUGCACCAUACAACCCCUUUUGCUAAGGCUAAGAAAAACUGCCUGCUUUUCUUGGCCAAAGAAAGGUGGUGGGAUGAAUUUCACAAUGGACUCAGUUGAUAGCCAGAUCUCUCUUACAUGUGACAGCUGUUCAGCAUAAACCCACAAAUCAGCAAUGUUCAGGCCCACAGUUUAUCCUGAACUGGCAAUGAUCCCUGGUAGCAUUGCCACUCCAAGGAUUUCUGGAAAUUAUUCAUAGGCCCAGGUCUGAAAGCCCUCUGAAACAGACCAGUCAACUCAUUCUCAUCAAUACCCAGAGUCUCCCUGAGAAUGUUGAUGCACUUGCCUGCUACUAACCCUCUAUUGAAUGCCAUAGCAAAACUUCCAUCAACUGCAUUGCUCGACUGACAGAGGACUGUGAGUGCCUGGUGACACUCUGGGUAACAGGUGCCCUUCCGGGUAACAGGUGCCCUUCCUCAGGCUGCACUUGACCCAGGACUGCAGUUCAGACAAAGAGAUGAGCUGUGAAAAAUCCUGACAAAUGGCGACCAUAUCUGCUCUCCAUCAGGGAAGCACUGGGGAUGUAACCUCAGUGUAUGUCUGCUCAUCAGCAACUAUAGCAUGCUCAUCCCUCCAUUCAAUGGAUGUUGACAGCAAAUGGAAAGCCUGACUAAUGGAAUGCUUCCUUUCCACAGAAAGCAGAAGAGUCUGUGCUCCAGCUUGGUAGUAAUAUGUAACAAUAAUCUAUAACAGAAGUGAAUGUAAGCAUUUGCCACUUCUUCUUGACUUGUUAUGGAUAGCUUUCUCUCUGCCCAUUUGUGGGUGAGGUUGACUCCUUUGCCAAUCACCUCAUCCCAGUUCUACUCCACCUAGGGAUCCAGACCAAAUCAGACCCCUAGCAAUCAUGGAUAGCUUUCUCUCAGCCCAUUUGUGGGUGAGAUUGACUCCUUUGCUCAUCACCUCAUCCCAGUUCUACUCCACCUGGGAAUCCAGACCAAACCAGACCCCUAGCAAUUUAACUGGUCCCUCUGUCAAGCAUCCAACGAUAUUAUUGGAUGGCAGGGACCUGCUGCUCCACUGAUUUCUCUGAAUUAAUUUUUGCUCCUGUCACUGCCUUGUGUUUUUUUUAAGGCAGUGCUGACCAGGUCUAUGAGCCUGGUUUUCAACACUAUGAUGGUGAUGUCAUCUGUAUAUACUCAGUUCUCACGUUUUCUAGUUUGUGUGGGAUGCCUCUUAACACCUCCAAUUUCUGCAAUAGUGGCUCUAGAGCCAAUACAUACAAAAGAGAUAAGAGGAUACACCCUUGAUUGACGGAGCACCUGAUGUUGAAUGGUUCCGAUAGGUAACCACUCACCCAAACUAGGAAGCAGAUAGUGCUGUACAUUGCAGUGAUCCAGCCAUAGAAACUGGACCUGAAACUGGCUACCUUGAGAACAGCCACCAAAUAUAGGUGGUUGACCCUAUCGAAAGCUUUAGAUUGAUCCAAAUUGAUCAAGGCCCCACCCAUGCAGGUCUCUUUGCCCACUCUGUCUAUGAUGUAUCACAUGAAGUGCAAUUUGUGGAUGGAUUUGCUUGGGAUUGUGCACAUUUAUGCAUCACCGAAUUGUUUCUUGAUGACAAGCGUCAACCUCUUUCAUAACACCUUGGCCAAAAUUUUGUAAUCUGUAUUCAGCAGCAUUAUGGGCCCAAAGUUUUCUAUUUGAUACCCCUUGUUUAGGUCCUUUCUCAGCAGUGCUACCACUCCUCAACUCACAGAACUAGGAAUUCUCCCAUUCUGCUGCCAAUUUCAGUAAAUAUCUGCUAAAGGGCCACCAAAUAAGUCUUGCAUAUAAAAUAAAACUCAUAGAGUAGCCCAUCAAAAGUGAUUUGCUGCCCUUCCCUCAUGAAACCCAUCAUCAUAUCCUGUAUUUCCAUGGCUGUGAUCAGCAUUUUGCAAUUCUCGUGUCUGCCAAAAAAGGGCAUGAAAGCUUGUCGGUUGGGGAAUCUGGUUUCACUGAUAGUCACCACACAUAAAACUUAGUGACCUGAGGUCAUUGCGUGGAUAGUCCUGUUUCCAAGGCAACCCCAGACCACUUGCACUAACACUAUUCUGAGAGCAAAGCCAUGCUUGUCAGGGAGAAGGAGAAUGAAGUGAAUCACCGUAUUUUUUGUGUAGAGAGGGAUGUUCUGUCUGUCUGGUUAUUUCUGGGUGUCAAUACAGGCAUUUCUUUGUAGAGCCUUUUAUUUACAAUCCCUUAGACAUCUGUUCCUUUGGGAUAUUUCACUCUCAGCUUGUUGCUUUGUUUAGGAGUGUCAUGUGGGGGUAAGAUGUAUUCAUUUAGAGUGAUGUCUGUGUAAUCUUAACCGUGUUUUAAGUUAUUGUUGUUUGUAUCAAUGGCUGUGUAAUUAGUGAUAUGUUGUUGGUUUGGAUUGCUGAGUUUUCAUUUGUAGUGUUGAAGAUAUUUGUGAUUGCAUUGGUGUGUGGGUAUGUGGUGGUUUCAACUGAUCCAAAUUGAUCAGGGCCCCACCCAUGCCAGUUUCCUUACCCACCCUCUCUAUGAUGUAGUGCAUGAGAUAGAGUUUGUUGUAGAUAGUUCUGUAUAGGAUACCACACACCUGUGUGUUACCAACCAACUUAUUGAUGACAAGCACCAACCUCUUGGCUAACAUCUUGGCCAAAAUCUUAUAAUCUUCAUUUAGCAGAGUUAUAGGCAUGAAAUUUGUCUCCCCUGUUCAGGUCGUUCCUCAACAGCACCACCACUCCAUGGCUCACAACACUGGGAACUCUCCCGUUCUGCUGCCAAGAGACUGCUGAACAAGUCUGGCAUAUGAAAAUAAAGCUCAAAGCGCAGACCGUCCUGCCCCGGAGACUUCUUUCUUGUUCAGGCUUUCAUCACAUCCCUUAUAUCUUUGGCUGUUAUCAGCAUUUUGCAGAACUCCACAUCCCUGGCUGAGAGGCGCAGCAUCCCAGAACCACCACGCACCCCAUACAGUUAGGUGAAGUACCGCUGAAAUUUUGCACACAUCUGCUUGGACACAGUUAUCAUGUGCCCAUCACAGCCCACCAAGACACAGUGCCUCUGUUGCCUGGGCCCAUUGAAUGGUAUUUGUCCCCUCCCAUCUCAGUGCAUGUGCUCUAGCUCUGGCAACACAACCUUUGUGCUUGGCAUUGAAGAAUUGAUCAAGAGCCAGUCUCACCACAAACACAUCAGUCACUAUGCCUUUCCUAAGCACCGCUUCUAGCUUCCUAACUAGGUCUCCCUCUAUUUUAGAUUCCUCUAACACUAUUUCCUUAUUAAAACCUACCACCUCUACUCUAAUAACCCAUUUCAGGGCUAUCCACCAACAGCUAUUAAUGUUUGCACCCGCCAACUCUUGAUGGACUCACUUGCUAAUCUGGUCUCUGAAAGCUUGGCGUGCCAGGAAGGAUAUAUUCAGCUUCCAGUAUCUAGGGCCCUGUCUAUGGAUCCUAUCUAUGUCGACCUUACAGAUCACAAAUUCAUGGUCCAUGUAGCCAAUGACUUUGAAAUGUGGAUAACUUAUACUACUUUUAUGUACAGGCUUACAAAAUACUCUAUCUAGAUAUGAUCUGGAAGGCACAAUGCAGUUCGCCCAUGUCCACAUUGGCACAUUUGGGAAAUCCAGUCAACACCUGUCGGCCAACUGGAAGCGACUGAUCAGUGUUCUGAGGCUUUUAUUCCCCCCUCUCCUAUCAGAUAGCCCCACUCUAUCCAGAUGUGCAUCCAAGAUGGCGUUCCAGUUACCCACUAACAAUAAAGAACAUGACAUUUCAGGGAAUAUUUUCAAAUGUCUGAAAAAAUCUGGCUGCCCUGCCUCCAUGGGGAUGUAAACAACUAAUCUUACAUCCUGGCCUACUAACGUACCCUUCGGCUCUAGGAAGAUCAUCUGAACUUCGAGAUCUAGGCCUUUGCUAAACAGCACUGCCACCCUGCCUCCCAUUCUGAGCUAAGAAUGUGUAGAUCUCAUAAUCAUUGAAAAUGAGUGCAAGAUCGCAUGUGUCAGAAAUCCUGGUCUCACUGGCUGCUAUCACAUCCAAACCUAGCGACCUGAGGUCAUUGAGCAAGUGACCUUGCUUCCAGACUGACCUCAGGCUGCAAAUAUUUAUGCAUCUCACUCUGACAAUUUCCAUGAUGGCUUGAAAGGGUUGAGCAAAAGAAAAGAAAAAAAAAGGCAGGGUUACUUACCCUCUUGGUGUUGUUGGCAGCCCAGUGACCUGGGCUCCAGAUCCUGGUUCCUCUGGGAAAUUGGCUAAAAGACUCUUGGUGGUGCAGAUGUUUGGCCUUCUCACAUCAUGUGGGAAGUCCUUCUGAAUUUCUUUGAAUACUUUGAGGGGUAACUGUAUUAACAUAAGGUGAUCUGGAACCCUAAGGGUGCUGUUGUGAUAGAUUGCACCCUCUUUCUCAAUUUGCUUGUUUCUGAUUAUGAGAGUCAACAAAUUUUUGUUGGCUCUCCUCAUGAGCACAUAAUUCAGUCUGUCUCACACAACUUUCUCUCUGUCUCACACAGCUUUCUCUGUCUCAUGCAACUUUCUCUCUCUCUCUCUCACGGGGCUCUCUCUCUCUCUCACGGGGCUCUCUCUCUCUCUCACAGGGGUCUCUCUCACAUAGCUCUCUCUC
RNAcentral lists this unclassified non-coding RNA (10263 nucleotides) under Octopus sinensis (East Asian common octopus). Its description in RNAcentral is "protein argonaute-2-like, transcript variant X2". Lineage: Eukaryota; Metazoa; Mollusca; Cephalopoda; Octopoda; Octopodidae. The record is from RNAcentral.